GGGAUUUCAGAUAAGGAAAAAUGUAGAGGGAUAGGAGUUCCAACAUAAGUACAUAACUCAUCAUGAGAUAGACAAAGGAGCCGUAAACAUGGGGAAUAAUACAUGAGCACUACAUGAUCAAACAAUGUCUUCACUCUUCACUAAUAAAGAAAAAGUAGUUGGGCACUUGGGCUGCUGGGCUUGUAACUUCUAAGUUCUAAGCCACUUUGCGCUGGGCUUUUACUUUCAUGGAAAUGCUGGUCCCUCAACAUUUAUUUUCCUAUUUUCAUUCCUAAAUCCUUCAGUCUUCGCUCAAAUUUCUCAUCCUCCUAAACCCUAACUCUCCUUCGGCCUUCCGGCGAUAUCACCACCGGAAAGAUUCGAAAAUAAGCUUUUGAGUUAAGCGGCGCUGUUCGACGGUUCGAGGCUGUUCGACGGAGCGCACGAGUCACCUGUCACCACCAUCUUCUACAGUUAAGGUUGUUUCCGACGAGGUUGUCUUUGGAGAAAGCCGUGGUGUCUUCAUUUAUAACCAUGUGUAGGAUCUUCAUUUGGAAGCUGGCUUAGAAGGCUAUAGCUGUCUUUUUAAUUUGGAGAUUACAGAUAUCCUUUUGUGUGAGAAGUGUUGCCUAUGUAAUAAAGGUGGUAAAUAUAUUGAUAAUCUGUUCAAGAGGUGUCUGUCAGACUGUCGAUGUCAGUGUCUCGUAUAUGGAAAUAUGGUUACCUGAGUCUCAAUGCUGAUGCGAACUUAAGUAUUCUCAUUAAUCUAUGUCUGCUUCAGACUUUGGUGGUAA
This is an RNA transcript of Beta vulgaris subsp. vulgaris (sugar beet), 773 nucleotides long. RefSeq lists it as uncharacterized. The record is from RefSeq and is a predicted model, not a curated record. NCBI's taxonomy places the organism in Eukaryota, Viridiplantae, Streptophyta, Magnoliopsida, Caryophyllales, Amaranthaceae. The transcript has 2 exons.